RNAcentral lists this unclassified non-coding RNA (223 nucleotides) under Hevea brasiliensis (rubber tree). The record is from RNAcentral. Lineage: Eukaryota; Viridiplantae; Streptophyta; Magnoliopsida; Malpighiales; Euphorbiaceae.
GGAUUCCGAUUUCUGGACCUCUCGCCUUGCCGCCGCUAAACGCCAGUAUAUGUUGCAGCAUCAUCACCAGACCUCCAACUUAGAUCUGUUGGGCAUCGAUGAUUUGGAGAUGGAUGAUGACGCCCGCCCUCAUUUUCCCUGCCCUUUUUGCUAUGAGAAUUUUGACGUUACGUCCCUUUGUUCGCAUCUGGAAGACGAGCACUCUUGCGAGACAAGAGUCACG